This 725-nucleotide ribosomal RNA is filed under the name Fulvia fulva. RNAcentral's name for it is "eukaryotic LSU rRNA". It matches the Rfam family "Eukaryotic large subunit ribosomal RNA", at positions 111 to 867 of the family's 3401-position model. Lineage: Eukaryota; Fungi; Ascomycota; Dothideomycetes; Mycosphaerellales; Mycosphaerellaceae. The record is from RNAcentral.
AAAUUUGAAAUCUGGCGCAAGCCCGAGUUGUAAUUUGUAGAGGAUGCUUCUGGCCAGCGGCCGUUCUAAGUUCCUUGGAACAGGACGUCAUAGAGGGUGAGAAUCCCGUAUGUGACCGGUGCGCAGCCUUUACGUAGCUCCUUCGACGAGUCGAGUUGUUUGGGAAUGCAGCUCUAAAUGGGAGGUAAAUUUCUUCUAAAGCUAAAUACCGGCCAGAGACCGAUAGCGCACAAGUAGAGUGAUCGAAAGAUGAAAAGCACUUUGGAAAGAGAGUUAAAAAGCACGUGAAAUUGUUGAAAGGGAAGCGCUUGCAACCAGACUUCGUAGCGAUGUUCCGCUGGUCUUCUGACCGGUCUACUCAUCGUCGCGAGGCCAACAUCGUCUGGGACCGCUGGAUAAGACCUAAGGAAUGUAGCUUCCCUCGGGAAGUGUUAUAGCCUGUGGUGAUGCAGCGCGUCUCGGGCGAGGUCCGCGCUUCGGCAAGGAUGUUGGCGUAAUGGUUGCCAGCGGCCCGUCUUGAAACACGGACCAAGGAGUCUAACAUCUAUGCGAGUGUUCGGGUGUCAAACCCCUACGCGUAAUGAAAGUGAACGGAGGUGGGAAGCGCAAGCUGCACCAUCGACCGAUCCUGAUGUCCUCGGAUGGAUUUGAGUAAGAGCAUAGCUGUUGGGACCCGAAAGAUGGUGAACUAUGCCUGAAUAGGGUGAAGCCAGAGGAAACUCUGG